CCUACGGGUGGCAGCAGUGGGGAAUAUUGGUCAAUGGGCGCAAGCCUGACCCAGCAACGCCGCGUGAAGGAUGAAGGCUUUCGGGUUGUAAACUUCUUUUCUUAGGGACGAAGAUAGUGACAUUACCUGAGUAAUCAGCCUCGGCUUCCUAGGUGCCAGCCGCCGUGGUAAUACGUAGGUGGCAAGUGUUAUGCGGAUUUAUUGGGUGUAAAGGGCGUGUAGGGGGGAGGGCAAGUCAGAUGUGAAAUCUCAGGGCUCAACCCUGAGCCUGCAUUUGAAACUGUGUUUCUUGAGUGCGGGAGAGGCAGGCGGAAUUCGGGGUGGAGCGGUGAAAUGCGUAGAGAUAAGGAGGAACACCAGUGGCGAAGGCGGAUUGCUGGAACGUAACUGACGCUGAGGCGCGAAAGCGUGGGGAGCAAACAGGAUUAGAUACCCGGGUAGUC
RNAcentral lists this ribosomal RNA (443 nucleotides) under uncultured bacterium. RNAcentral's name for it is "partial 16S ribosomal RNA". It matches the Rfam family "Bacterial small subunit ribosomal RNA", at positions 338 to 795 of the family's 1533-position model. The record is from RNAcentral.